This 590-nucleotide ribosomal RNA is filed under the name uncultured Burkholderia sp. Its description in RNAcentral is "bacterial SSU rRNA". It matches the Rfam family "Bacterial small subunit ribosomal RNA", at positions 418 to 1003 of the family's 1533-position model. Lineage: Bacteria; Pseudomonadati; Pseudomonadota; Betaproteobacteria; Burkholderiales; Burkholderiaceae. The record is from RNAcentral.
UCGGGUUGUAAAGCACUUUUGUCUGGAAAGAAAUCCUUGGUUCUAAUACAGCCGGGGGAUGACGGUACCGGAAGAAUAAGCACCGGCUAACUACGUGCCAGCAGCGCGGUAAUCGUAGGGUGCGAGCGUUAAUCGGAAUUACUGGGCGUAAAGCGUGCGCAGGCGGUUUGCUAAGACCGAUGUGAAAUCCCCGGGCUCAACCUGGGAACUGCAUUGGUGACUGGCAGGCUAGAGUAUGGCAGAGGGGGGUAGAAUUCCACGUGUAGCAGUGAAAUGCGUAGAGAUGUGGAGGAAUACCGAUGGCGAAGGCAGCCCCCUGGGCCAAUACUGACGCUCAUGCACGAAAGCGUGGGGAGCAAACAGGAUUAGAUACCCUGGUAGUCCACGCCCUAAACGAUGUCAACUAGUUGUUGGGGAUUCAUUUCCUUAGUAACGUAGCUAACGCGUGAAGUUGACCGCCUGGGGAGUACGGUCGCAAGAUUAAAACUCAAAGGAAUUGACGGGGACCCGCACAAGCGGUGGAUGAUGUGGAUUAAUUCGAUGCAACGCGAAAAACCUUACCUACCCUUGACAUGGUCGGAAUCCUGCUG